GGGUGUGGCUGUGCUGAGGCGCGCUAGAAUAAAGGAAGCCUGGGCCAAGCUUGCGCUGGGGUUCGGGUUCAGCGCUACGUCAUCGGCGGAACCAUGGAGUCGAGCUGUUUAUCCCGGGGCAGUGGAGGCCACCCGCCUUUUGGGGGAUCCCUGCUUGGUACUUCGGGAAUUAGAUGAGUCAGUCCAGUGUAACCUAGUGGCCUACCAGCAUGUCAGAUGUACCACUUGUCAAGAAUGGAUGAGAAGGUGUGAAUGGGUUGUGAUUUGCAUUGUUGGAAGGAACUGAUAAAAUCUGAAAUUCAUUAAUGUAUUCAUCAAACAGGCUAUUGGAAUAAUUCAGAACAGCAGCAAUGUCAGAGGAGAAGAGAAGAGAGAUACUGCGAGAAGACAGGUCUUGGCAAUAGGUUGGAUAUGGAAGGUGAGAGACAAGAAAUCUAGGAUGACUUCAAAAUUGUGAAUUGGAGGAAUUGGGAAGAUGACUGCUACAAGUAAUUGGGAAGGUAGAAUGAGGGUAGGGAUUUGGGGAAAUAUAAUGAUUUUUAGAUAUCUAUUGGACAUCUGAUUUGAAACAAGAAAGGCAGUUAGAAAUAUAAGAUUGGUGGUCAGAAGAGUUUAGAACAAAAUAUAUUUGAAAAUUAUUACCAUGGAUAUGGUAAUUAAAUCUUCCAGAACUGAUGAAAUCACCAAGUGUAUCUACACUUAGAGAAGAAGUGGACCCAGGAUCUACAUAGAAGAAGUGGACCCAGGACAUAAGCAUUAUGUCAAACAUAAUAUCAUAGUUUCAUCUUUUGAGUGUCUUUAAAAGUCUUGGAUGGUACAAGGAUCAGCUUUAAUUUACUUAAAUCUAAUAUUUCACCUGAACCUAAAAUAGUUUACCUGCUUUAAACUUCAAUUUAAUCUAGUCCCUCUGACAGUUCUGCUUCAAAAACAAAAAAAUAACGAAUUGAUGCUUCUUUAGAGUCAGCAAAAAAGUCACUAUCUCUGUAGCUUCUUUCUUAUCCCUCUAAUACCCCUUUUUUACUAGGUUGAAAGGUC
Molecule: long non-coding RNA, 1035 nt
Filed under: Sarcophilus harrisii (Tasmanian devil)
Lineage: Eukaryota; Metazoa; Chordata; Mammalia; Dasyuromorphia; Dasyuridae
Description: lncRNA (ENSSHAG00000030663.1)
Source: RNAcentral